Molecule: ribosomal RNA, 881 nt
Filed under: uncultured bacterium
Lineage: Bacteria
Description: bacterial SSU rRNA
Rfam family: Bacterial small subunit ribosomal RNA
Source: RNAcentral
GAUAGGCAUGCAGUCGAACGAGAUCUGUAGCAAUACAGUGAAAGUGGCGAAAGGGAGAGUAAUACGUAGGUACCUGCCCUCGGGUCUGGGAUAGCUGCGGGAAACUGCAAUUAAUACCGGAUGACGUCUCUGGACCAAAGGUGUGAUUCCGCCAGAGGAUGGGCCUGCGUCCUAUCAGCUAGUUGGUGUGGUAAAGGCGCACCAAGGCGAAGACGGGUACGGGGUGUGAGAGCAUGCCCCCGCUCACUGGGACUGAGAUACUGCCCAGACACCUACGGGUGGCUGCAGUCGAGAAUCUUCCGCAAUGGGCGAAAGCCUGACGGAGCGACGCCGCGUGUGGGAUGAAGGCCUUCGGGUUGUAAACCACUGUCAGUGGGGAGCAAAUGCAUCGGGGUUCUCCCCGGUGUUUGAGCGAUCCGCAGAGGAAGCACAGGCUAAUUCCGUGCCAGCAGCCGCGGUAAUACGGAAUGUGCAAACGUUAUUCGGAAUCACUGGGCUUAAAGAGUCCGUAGGCGGCCUGUUAGGUGAGGUGUGAAAUCCCACGGCUCAACCGUGGAAUUGCGCUUCAAACCGGCAGGCUUGAGGAAGAUAGAGGUGGACGGAACUGAUGGUGGAGCGGUGAAAUGCGUUGAUAUCAUCAGGAACACCGGAGGCGAAAGGCGGUCCACUGGGUCUUUUCUGACGCUGAGGGACGAAAGCUAGGGGAGCGAACGGGAUUAGAUACCCCGGUAGUCCUAGCCUUAAACGAUGAGCACUAGACCGAAGAAUCUCCACGAUUUUUUGGUCGUAGCGAAGUGUUAAGUGCUCCGCCUGGGGAGUAUGGUCCGCAAGCUGAAACUCAAAGAUUGACGGGGGCUCCCACAAGCGGUGGAGAUGUGGCU